RNAcentral lists this long non-coding RNA (213 nucleotides) under Olea europaea (common olive). RNAcentral describes it as "long non-coding RNA (OEUR_LNC000413)". The record is from RNAcentral. Lineage: Eukaryota; Viridiplantae; Streptophyta; Magnoliopsida; Lamiales; Oleaceae.
CUUUUUUAGCAUUCUUCGAACAUCAAAGACAGAUAUCAAACAAGAUGGCAAAAUUCUGCGCUCUCCAGUGAGAAAAAUUUCAAGAUUUUCUGGACUUCUAAAUAUCACUUCCUUGCGAAAACAAUCGACUGAAGUACGAUGUCUAGAUAAAAAGUCCAUCCCCAAAAUAACAUCAAAAUCAUGAAUAUCGAGUGGAAUUAGAUCUGCUUUCAA